Molecule: unclassified non-coding RNA, 405 nt
Filed under: soil metagenome
Description: partial contains 5.8S ribosomal RNA, internal transcribed spacer 2, and large subunit ribosomal RNA
Rfam family: 5.8S ribosomal RNA (bases 1-121)
Source: RNAcentral
GAUGAAGAACGUAGCGAAAUGCGAUAAGUAAUGUGAAUAGCAGAAUUCAGUGAAUCAUCGAAUCUUUGAACGCACCUUGCGCCCUUUGGCCAUUCCGAAGGGCAUGCCUGUUUGAGUAUCAUGAACACCUCAACUCUUUAUGGUUUUCCAUGAUGAGCUUGGACUCUGGGGGUUUUGCUGGCUCACAGUCGGCUCCUCUAAAAUGAAUCAGCUUACCAGUGUUUGGUGGGUAUCAUGGGUGUGAUAACUAUCUACGCUUGUGGUUUUUCCACCAGGUAACCUUCAGCAGUGGAGGUUCGCUGGAGCUCAUAGAUGUCUCUCCUCAGUGAGGACAGCCCUUUGAAUGUUUGAUCUCAAAUCAGGUAGGACUACCCGCUGAACUUAAGCAUAUCAAUAAGCGGAGGA